UAAACAUACGUCGCAUUAUCUCUGAAAAACCAAACUCAAACUGAACACGGAAGACAACAGUCGCAAAAAUAAAUUUCCAAUAUUUGGAUUAAGUUGGAUUGUUUAGAAGAUAAUAAUAAGAUUUAUGCCAAAGCAGAAGUUUGUCGAGAUAUAACAAUCGUGUGAAGAUUUCAACGCCGUCGUUGGAUAAAAAAGUCAGACUAACGUGACUGUUUCAUCAGAUUAAAACAAAAAAAACACAUGGGGCUUGAACGUAAAUACUAUUGCAUUCCGGGAACCAUCCCACUGGGUUGUAUGUAUAUAGUGGUGCUUUCAUUAUCAGCAGCUGAUUUUAAACCAUCCCUUUUACGACAAGCACUAUAUGGCGAAACACUGUUAAUUGAAUGCAAUGCAACUGUGGACAUAACUUUUAAAUUCACCAGUUUAUGGAUGGAUAGUACAAUAAAUAUAGGCCAUUGUGAAAACAAUGUCCACAUGUGUUACAUAGAGAAAGGUGUAAGCAACGACAUUUACCGAAUAACACACACUGGUCAUGGCGGACGUCUACGUGUUUUGCCUUAUAAUGAAACUUGCGGGACUUAUACAUGUUGUGAAUCAUUCAAUCCCAGCCAAUGCACUAGUACGGCAGCAAGAUGUCCGCAUAUAGGCUUAACUACAGUCUCGCCAAGUUCAGAGAGUGUACUUAUCGAAAGCACAACGCAAGAAGAAGUCAUCUACGAUAGCUAUCAAUUGAGUGCACGACAUGCUUUUCCAAUGAUAGCUUUUCCAACGCUUGUAGCAGUCGUGAUAAUAUUGGACCUGAAAAUGAAAAAAAACCAAUGCAGACAGCCUCGAUGGUGUCGAUAACAAAUCAUCAUGACCUUUUAUAAUAUGAAAAAACUAACAUAUUAUGGAUAUUAUCCCGUGAGACCGGCUUAACUUUAUAACGCUCAGUGCUUUAGCUAUUUCGUCGCUAUCCUAUCAAUAAGCGUGUUCAGUGUAUGAUUAUCAUUUUCGACGUUUAGAUCAGGAUCGAGUGUAUGAUUGAUUUUAUUGCGGCACGUUUACAACAUUUCUUUGAACAGUACAUCCUCUCAGUAAAAAUCGCUGGCAUGUUAAAAAUUACGCAUCAAUGAAUAUUUCCAAAACUCAUUUUGCGUGCCACGAAUAGUCAAAAUAUGCUCGAUCUGGUCGCAUCAGACUACAUGUAAGUCAUAUUGAUAUGCUCGAUCUGGUCGCAUCAGACUACAUGUAAGUCAUAUUGCACGACUAUUUUUUUUCAAGAUAUUUUUGUUUUAUAUGUACGUGUAACUCUGUGGGAAUAAGGCCUCGGAUUAUGAUCAAGAAUGCUUCUCUGUUUUUUUACAUACUUAUUUAAAUGUCAACGCUUCUCUUAAAAUAGAAACAAUGAAUGCGAUAGCAAUUUAACGUAAUAUUUUAACACAAUAAACAAUGAAAUAACAUCACACAUUAAUGUAAAUUUUAAGUUUGUCGAAAAUAAAUUAAUUUUAGAAGUAAUACAUAAAUCAAUAUAUAAAUAUCAAAUUCGGUGUAUCUCUUCAUUACUGCAUGGUACUCGCAAAUAUGAAAAAAUCAAUACCAAACAUACAUUAAACAUACAUAUUCAUUUUCUGAGCUCUACAAAAGUCGAACAAGUUUACAUAUUUGACUUGAGAUUCCUGUGAACAUAAGAGCUAGGUCUAGUAAUUAAAGUUCUAUCAUUUUUGUGUUAUCUCCCAAAAUGUGUUUGUCUAUAAAUGUAUGUCACUGCGAAACAAAAGUAGUUGUUACUUUAAACCGUUCGAGUUGAUCUUUUUUUAGACCCGAUUUUAAGACUAGACUUUAAAGCGGGUAUAUACGAUUUUUAUAUGUGCUAAAUUGUAAAAUAUUGAUACAAAUAUGUUAUAAUAACACACAAUUUGCAAGAAAAAUGAUACAUUUAAGACGAAUUUCAUAAAAUACAGCAAAUACAAAUUAGCGCCCCGAGCCGAUUGUGACGAAGAUAAUUCGUAAUUAUUUUCCUACAAUAACCGAUGCA
This is a long non-coding RNA of Dreissena polymorpha, 2017 nucleotides long. RefSeq lists it as uncharacterized. The record is from RefSeq and is a predicted model, not a curated record. Lineage: Eukaryota; Metazoa; Mollusca; Bivalvia; Myida; Dreissenidae. The transcript is spliced from 4 exons.